Long non-coding RNA from Carassius auratus (goldfish), 2152 nucleotides. RefSeq lists it as uncharacterized. NCBI's taxonomy places the organism in Eukaryota, Metazoa, Chordata, Actinopteri, Cypriniformes, Cyprinidae. The transcript is spliced from 3 exons. The record is from RefSeq and is a predicted model, not a curated record.
GUAAUAUGACAUUUAUUGAAAAAACAAAUGGGAUCAUAGCUGAGACUUUUGAAGGAGAAAUUAAGGGCCGCUAUGUAAAGGAUGCUUGAGGGUUAAAAUAAACGUAAUGAACAAAUAAAUUUAAUUACAUCUAAUUAAUUUCAAUAUUUUGAUGUUUUUAAUAUCACAGCUGCAGUGACUGCUAGAAUCUAGAAGUGCUUCUCUCGUUACUGCAUCCAGUAUUAGAGUACAAUCAGGAUAAAGACACGAGUCUCUCAGAGAAUUCAGACAAAGGAAUAUUGAAUGUAACUUCUACAGGGAUAUAGAAAUGUAUAGAAAAAUAUGAGGUGGCAAGAAUGGCCUUUUAUCUCACACUCGAGGUUAAAGACUCACCAGUAUGUGACAGUGACGUGAUAUACAGCCAAGUGUGGUGACCCAUACUCAGAAUUUGUGCUCUGCAUUUAACCCAUCCAAAGUGCACACACACACACACACACACACACAAAGUGAUGUCUAUUUUCCAAAUACACCUGCCCUCUCAACCUCCCCACAAUCUUAAACACCAGAGUAAUAUGUCAUAGUUACUGUAUACUGCAAUGUUACUCUUAAUAUUUUAACAUUAUUGCAUGUACAAUACUACAAAAGGUUUGAAGAAUGAUAAUGAUAAACUAGUUCAGUAUUGUGAAUCAUGUGAGUAGAGUGCAUUUCUAUUAGUUUCUUAGCUUGUGCUUGUGCUGGCAAGUUAAAAUCUCUAUAGUGCAGAUCCUGUUUAUAGAAAAAGUAGUACUCAUACAAACACACUCCAACACUAAAACUUAAACACAGUCUCAGAGAUCAUUCAUGUUCUUCACUCUCUGCAGGCUGAUUAACUGCAGUAUUGGAGAGGAAGGCUGUGCUGCUCUGAUUUCAGCUCUGAGAUCGAACCCCUCACACCUGACAGAACUGGAUCUGAGAUAUAAUAAACCAGGAGACUCAGGGGUGAAGCUGCUCUCUGCUCUACUGGAGGAUCCACACUGCAAACUGAAGAAACUACUUAUUUGACAGUGGAAACUCCACAAGCUCCAAACAACUGAAUCAAAACCACACGUCUUGAACAAGUCCGUCACCUGGACAUUAAAAUGCAUAAUUUCAGUUAGGGUGAAGAAAAGCUUUUUGUUUUUCUUCUAAGGCCACAAGAGGGCGCAUCGAGCAAAAUAUUACUAAUACACGUUUAUUCAAAGCAUAAGAAAACAUGACUGUAACCCACCAUAAAUUCUUGAGAUAUGUUUUUAAAAUGUUGAACUUAGAUUAAUUUUACAUGGCUAUCUAAACACGUGGCUCUGUUGUGCAAUAUCCUGAUAAUUCACCUCCAGAGGACGAGAGAAGCUGUUGUUGAGAUCAGAAACACUGACGGAUGAGAUUCAACUCUUUCCUUCGUACCAGCAGAGAGUUGUCUCUGUCUCAUUCAUCACUGAACACAGCAGGAUGAACACAUUUCCAGCUCCAUGAUUGUUCAGAGUCUCUGACAAUAGUGAGAAUGGACAGAGGAGCUGGAAACACAUGAGAAUAAACAGAAAUAUUACUGAGAGGAAGAUCAAGAUGAAAUACAGGUGGUAAAGUGUGUCUAUGCAGCAGCAAAUCUGAAUGUAGAGUUUAAUAAUGAACUGAAUACAACAAUACUAGUAAAUAUAUCAGUGUCUAAUAAACAUUUGCAGUCAGAACUACAUAAGAUGUGUUUCUAGCAGAGUAGUUUAAUAUGAUGUGGACUUAAACAGAUUGUGCUUUUGAGUGAAAACUAUCAUCCAGAAUGAUCUUUAUCCCGCGUUUAGAUGAACGCGAUCACACACUUAAGCGAGGAUUGCUACGUUGGAUUCCUGUGUUGUCACAGGUUCCCUUGGACGAAGAGAAUACCAAACAGAUAUCACACAAAGCAUGCAAGAGAAAUGGGCCCAAAAGCUGUACUUUCCUGUUUUGGAUACUCUUUUGGUAUAAGCUUUCCAACUGAAGAUCCAUGGGAUGAACCUUUGAGCUGUUUCAGAGAAAUGGUUUUUCAUUGGUUUAUCAUCUACAUUCUCUUCAUUAGUAAAGAUUUAUUUGCACAAGUCAUGCCAAAUUGACACAAAAAGUCUAAUAAUAAUGUGUAAAAAUAAAAAGUGUGCUUGGCAGUUUAUGACAACUAGAUUAACCAUUUUGC